GGAUGUAGGGGCGAUCUGGCUGUCAUAUCUUUCACCCCAUUGAUUGACAGGGUGGAUUUGACUGACUUGAGUGGCUACCUGGGUGUUGCUUUCCUCCCUCAUUGUUCCACGUGUGUCCGUCCUGAAGCUAUGUGCUUGGUUGAAGAAGAUGACUUUCUCUGAAUCGAGGAAGAUAGGUCUCUGGUCAAGAGUAUUAGUCAA
Molecule: small nuclear RNA, 201 nt
Filed under: Rattus norvegicus (Norway rat)
Lineage: Eukaryota; Metazoa; Chordata; Mammalia; Rodentia; Muridae
Description: 7SK RNA
Rfam family: 7SK RNA
About the family: 7SK was discovered as an abundant small nuclear RNA in the mid-70s but a possible function has only recently been suggested.
Source: Rfam by way of RNAcentral